GGGACCUGUGCAUCAUGCCUUGUGUGUGUGUGUGUGGAGGGGGGGGUGCGGGGGUGUGGAUGUGGGCAUCCAUUCAGGGUUUGUUGAGAGCAUGCUUAGUAUCUGUGGUGUCCUUUUGGGCAGAGUGUACAUCUGUGAGAAUAAAACUUUGAUGUGGGAUGCCAAAGUGGGGAGCUGGAAAUGGAAAGUAGCUUCUGGCACACAGUAGGGACUCCCUGCCAUUGGUGUGCAAGGGGCCUUAGGAUUGGACACAUGCUGGCACCUGAUUACGAGGAUGGGUCAGACAUUCUAGGACCCACAAGGAGCCUACAGUGGAGCUUGGCAAGAUGGACAGGCACGGAAGGAGCAACUGUGAGCCCCACAAGUUUCCCAAGACCAGAGCCUCCCACAGCUGGUGCACUGUAGAUUGGCUGGGCCUCUGAUUAUGGUGAGACUUCCCAGUAGGGAAGGAUGUGUGAUCAGCUGAUGGAGUAUUAUUUUUCAUUGUAAAUGAGUAAAGUGACUUCACUGUGAAUGUGGGGCAUGCCAGUCAUCCCGUCUCUGAAAUCAUGGACUCAGCCAACCUACAGUGCUACAGACUGGCUCUCUGAAGGAAGCCACCUCUAUCCAGGACAUCUCUCCAUCUUAUCCUGUGCUACACACACACACACACACACACACACACACACACACACACACACACAAACAUACACACAUGAAACCUUUGCUUUUUAAAAUAAAAGUCAAAUCAUGUCACUCCUUUGCUCAAAACCUUGCUAUAGCUUCCUGUUUCUCAUGGAGUAAAAACCAGUUAUACAGGCUAUCUCUGCCUCUCACCUCUUUGGCCUUAUCUCCCUCCAGCCACACUGGCCACCUUGCUGACCCUCAAACUCACCAGGCACCCUCCUGCCUCAGGGCUUUUCCACUGACUCUUCCCUCUGGCUAGAUGCUCUUUCCCCAGAUAACUGCAAGCUCACUCCCUUGCCUCCUUCAAGACUGCUCAAAUUUCACCUUCUCAAUAAGGCCCACUAAGACCACUGUAUAGUGGUCAGCACUCUUCUUAUCUCUUGUCCCUUGUCUGACUUUUUCUUUUUUCCAGAGUACUUACCACUUUCUAAUAUACCACAUAAUUUACUUAUUUAUCACAAUUAUUGUCUACUGUCUCUUCCUCCACUAGAAUGCUAGUUUCAUGAGGCAGAUUUUUGUGUUGUCCACUGAUGUCUUCCAGUUGCCUAGAAUAAUGCUCAGCAUUCAAUAUAUGUGUUUUGAAUGACUCUAUGAAUGGAUGAUUUGAUGUAAACUAGAAAAAAAAUCCUAUUGUGCUUGUUUCAGUGAGUUCAAUUACAUAACCCCAAGUUCACUCCACAGUUGCCAGGAUGAAUUUGUGAGUGUGGUGGGUGUGUUGAGGGGGUUAGGUAUUAGCCAAGCUGAGCCCCUGCUCCCCAGCUCCCCUGGAGUGGGUCUCCUAGAGAGCAGGACCCUCGAGGAGAUGCAUCACAUUGGGGCAGGGCUCACAUUUCGGGGCCGGAUGGGGACCCUCUCAUUGUCCUCAUUCAUGCCGGGAAUGACGACCGUCAUGCGCCGAGGACCUCGGAAGCCCAGCACAUUGGUUUCCUGGGAGGGAGAUGCCUGUUAGGCCGGCCCCUGCAAGGGGAGGGUCCUGCCAUGGGAGACCGGUGGAGUUCUCACAUAGAUCACAGCUGCCAGCUCCUGCCGAAGGCUCCCCACAUCAGUGCCACCUCCUCCACGCUGAGGGUUCUGUCCAUUGUCAAAGACAGUAAAGCGGUUGCCCAGGAGGUUGGACCUGAAAGCAGGGUAGAAUUAGGGGCAGGACUGAGGGAAUUCCACACCCCUAUUCCAAGAUCCUCACAGCCAAGCCAUUUUGAGAGCCUCCUACUUUAAGGGUAGGAAUGUUUUAGGCCAGAGCAGUUCAUGUCCCCUGUCCCACGUUUCCCCCAUGAGGUCUUUUUAAAAGCUGGAUCUAGAUGCUUACUUGGUUGAUAAGAGGAUUAAAUGGGUUAAUAUUUGGAAGUUACUUAGAACUACCCCUGACACAUAGGUAGGCCUUACAGAAGUGUUUGUUAUAUACAAUAAGGUCUGACUUAGGGGUUCACUUUCCUCUCACCUCUCAGAUUUGUGGUGAGGAUUAGAUGGGAUAUAUGGGGAGACUCAGCAUAGGGUAAGGAUAAAUAUUUGCUCAUUCAUUUACUUAGCAAGUAUUUAUUGAGUAGUUAUUAUGUACCAGUGCUGGAAAUUCAGUCAUGAAGAAGACAAGCCCAGCCCCAGCCCUCAUGGUCCUUGCACCCUACUGCAAGUGAGGUCCCCAGACCAGCAGUGAGGCCAUUGCCUGGGUGCUUGUUGGAAGUGCAGACUCUCGCCCCCAACCCAGACCCACUGAACCAUUUUAACAACACCCCCAAGUGAUCUAUGCAUGGCAUGGUGUGAGAAGCCCUGUGACAGGGGACUUUCCCCGAGUGUCCAACACGGUGGGCACUCUCCCAGGCACAGGGAGACAGUGGUGACUGGCCAAGGCCCUCUUGCUGCCCUAAGCCUCCCAGCCUCACCUCAGCUUCCCGACGAAAUUCUCUCCUCCUCGGGACAGAUUGGUAGGGUCACUAGAGAUGAGGUAAUUGGCUGUCUUGCUCCGUUUCCUUUUCCUGCCAGCCAAGAGGAACACCUGGGGAGAGAGGGAGACAGGCGAGUGGAUUGGAAGAGAAGAUGGGGUGAGGAAGGAGGUGGGUGAGGAGAAGGAGAAAUCUGUUUGCCCUUUAGGCCUAGGCCCCUAUUUUGGCUCUAGACCCUCACUGAGCCAGGUUUCUGGUAGCUCUACUCCUCCUCCCUGCCGCCUGCCCUGCCCACCUUCUUCUCUGUGUCCAGGUGCAGGAAGUAGGAAGGAUACAGGCCCCGAUCCAUGCCCCUCUUGUUCCGGGUCAGCCUGCAGCGCACUGUCCAGCCCUGGGGGGCAGGCUGAAGCAUCAACUCCUGGGGUUCAUGCACUCCCACAGGUGGGGAUAGAACCCUCUCCUCCUUCUGGGGGAUGGGGGCAAAGGGUAUACAUCAACCCCAGAGCACCAGCUCCCCUGUCCUCAGCAGGUCCCCAGUGCUGGGACUAGUCAGGGCUGGCAGGACAACUCACUGCUUUCUGAGUGGGGAGAGAAGGGAGAGGCCAGUGGGGCUGCCUCACACUUCCCCAGGAUCUGGCAGGCCAUGUGAGGAGGCUAGGGGAGCUAUCCUUCACUAUUAGUUUGUUUGGCUUAUAGUGAAGAGCCCAGCCUCUGGAGCCAGACAACCUGGUUCAAAUCUUAGUUCCGCUACUUAGCACUUGUUAAGUUUUAACUACACUGUGACUCAGUUUUUUUCAUCUGACAAGUACAUAGGGUGAGUUGGACACCUGGGACAGACCUUACUUAAUUCAUAUAUUUAACAAACACAUGUAAGGUUUACCAAUGUGCCAGGCAUAAUUCUAAGAACUUUCCAAAUAUCAACUCAUUUAAUUUUCUUAUCAAUAUCUGCUGCAGUAGUCCCAUUUUACAGAUAAAGAAGCUGAGGCUCAGCGACUAAGGUAUUUGUCCAAGUUCACAUAGGUAGUAAGAGGUGGAGCUGGGCUAUGAAUGCUGCUCAGUCUCCUGUCAGAUCCAGAGCCUUUAGAAAGACCUUCCUUCAUGUGGACACUAUAUCAGGGGAUGACCUGAGUUGAGGCCGAAGGUAUGAAUUGCUAUGUUCUAAGCAUGUAACACUAUAGAAGUGUUAGCUACUACUGAUAUUAUAGCAUAUAGUACAUACUCAAUGAAGGUAGUAGCCAACCUUCGCAGUGGUGCCCCGUGAUUCUUGCCUCCUGAUAUUUAUGCCCUCUGUUGUCCCCUGCCACACUAUAUCAGGGUUGGUCUGUGACCAGUAGAAUAUGGCAGUCAGAAGAUAUUGUGGCUUCUCCUUGCUUUCUCUUUUGGGCUCUGGGGGAAGUUGGCUGCCUCCUCAUAAGGACACUCAAGCAGCCCUAUGGAGAGGCCGCCAGCCAACAACAAGGACAGUGAACCAUUUUAGAAGGAGAUCCUCCAUUUCCAGUCAAGCUUUCAGAAUGACUGCCAACCCAGCUAUCAUCCUGACUGCAACUUCAUGAGAGACCCCCAAACCAGACCGACUUGCUAAGCUGCGCCUAGAUGUCUGACUUCCAGAAAUUAAGAAAAUAAAUAUUUGUUGUUUAAAGACA
Manis pentadactyla (Chinese pangolin) is the source of this 4186-nucleotide long non-coding RNA. RefSeq lists it as uncharacterized. The record is from RefSeq and is a predicted model, not a curated record. NCBI's taxonomy places the organism in Eukaryota, Metazoa, Chordata, Mammalia, Pholidota, Manidae. The transcript has 2 exons.